Molecule: long non-coding RNA, 2990 nt
Organism: Pipistrellus kuhlii (Kuhl's pipistrelle)
Lineage: Eukaryota; Metazoa; Chordata; Mammalia; Chiroptera; Vespertilionidae
Exons: 5
Source: RefSeq, a predicted model, not a curated record
UACUAAGGGGCAAUGCAGCCAUGCUGAGUGAGGACUUUCUGCUGUUUGUUUUUAAUAAGUACCUAGCUCUCAUGUCACAAAAGAAUGAUCGAUAGUUGUCCAAAGCAAACGAUAAAUAAUUAAACGGCAUGGAGUUCCCGCAGAGGCUGUUGUUCUUUCAGUACACAAAGGGAUGCAGAAGUCAACAAGCAGGACAGCAGUUGCUUUCUUAUUCUUGUUUGAAAACUUGGAUGAUGGUUUCAAAGCUACUCUGACCGAGCCUGUACCUGUUGUGGCCAGAAAAAGCAGCGUCAGUCCCUGGAGUGACUGAAAGUGUUUACUGAAAACUACUUGCUGGAGGCAGUCGUUCAAUUGGGAGUUCAACCAGAAGUUCAACUGCUCAUUAUGACGUGCACUGACCACCAGAGGACGGCACGGAAUAUGGCAGGCAUCGGCAGACACAUUUGCUAGCAGCAGGCGACAGUGGAGGUGCUGCCAGCCCCGAUGGGCCCCGACAAGAAUGGGACCCCCGUGGGAUGGUGGAGCAGGAAACCAAGGACAGUUGUGGUGUGUUGAAAGCACAGGAGCCAUGCAAUUGGAAGGCCUGAGGUUUAAAUUCGAGUUAAUCACAGUUGUAAGCACCUAACAUGAUCAGCCAGAGUUUCUGGGAGUGCAGCUGGCGUUUCCAUUGCAGUGGACGAAAGAUGGCCACACUGUCUGACAUUUCUCCCACCAGGAGGUGGGGUCUGCUUCUUUUGCCCUUGAAAUUGGCCCAUGGCUACUCUGAAGAUUGAAGUGAUACUUUGUCAGAUCCCUGAAGUGAUACUUGGCUCAGAACCUUGUACCUCAUGGAGAAACCCUAAAACUACAUGGAGAGGGAGAAGAGCCCAGCCAAGCCAACUUGAUAGUCAUCCCCUCUAAUUUUCCAGACAUGACUUGGACUCUCCACAUGAGACCAGGUACCAGCUGAAAAGCACAUGAGGGUGUCCUCAGUCACAUGGAGCAGAAGAACCACCCAGCUGAGCCCUGCCAGAAUUCCUGAUCCACAGCAUCAUAAAAUAAUGUUACUUAUGCCUCUCUAAGUUUGGUGAUCCAGAUAACAAGGAUAUACAGAUGUAACAAAUUCUCCAGGUUAUUCUUGUGAGUCCUAGAAUUUGAGUCAUGUAAAGGGAGCUGACAUUUCAUGAGUAGUUUUUUUAUUAAGGAGUAGAACAUAUAAACUCAUUUUCUACCUUGUCUGCAUAUCCUAAGAGAAGGAAGAUAAGGUAAAAUAAAAUCUCAUCACUUAUAUUGUUGAACUCAUUUUGUUUUUGGACAAUAGGCCAGUUCUGUUUCUGGCACAAACAAGAGGGGGCCUCCAGCUCUCCUGGACUUUUCUAGACGAUCCAGUGCCACAGACAGUGUUAAUGAACAAUGUAACCUCAACGGAAUGAAGUUCAGCUCUGGAUUUAAAACACAGUGAGUCCUGACAACAUUUGGUUUGGACGUAUUUUCUUCCACUAUGGUUCCAGACCAAAACUGAGAUUUUCUUUUUCUUUUUUUGUUUUUCUCAUGGGAGUAUAUUUUAAGACUGAAGCCUGUGGGUUUCUUUCAGGUUUCAUAAUGAAACCUUUAGGCUUGUAAGUCACAUGACCGACCCCUGCUUUGCCAUAGUUUUGGACAAAAACCACAGGACCCUGCAAACCCCAUUGGGAUUGGUGGUUUUUGUUUUUGUUUCUCAACAAAGCAGUUUGGGCAAGUCUGAGAAAUUUUUUUGCAGACUCAGCAGAGAUGGGUGUGAAACUCAGCAUCUCCUUUGGAUGCUUCAGCUCAGCGUCAGUGGGUUUGGACAAGCCUUGUGCUUAAAAAUGGAACUCUAAAAGCAUAAAACCACAGAAGCCAGAAGUAUUUUCCAAAAUGAGUUGAACCAAGCUGAAGCUGCCGGGAUUCGCGCCCUCUCUGUGCAGACAAGUAGAUGUGCCCCUUCCAACUCGAUGCCCCACCAGCCUUCAGCUCACCCGGUCUGCUAUGUCACAUGCUGGGCAGAGCUGACUCUUUAGAACAGAACUCUGGCCUCUUCUGGUGCUCUUCAGAGGUGGCCCUCUGUCUCCACAAACUCAGUAAUUCAAAGUCUGGCAAGGAAUCGAUCUCACCAUUUAUUUUAUUUCGUUCAUCUGAAAAACAAAACAUCCAUAUGGUGGCAUCACUUGAGGACAGCUGACAAGUAAAUACCAUCCUUGAAGCCCGAGGCUCCCAAGCAGCCUAGGGCAUGGCAAGGCUGCAUCAUCAUGGCUCCAAGUGCUGAUUAAAAUACAGAUCCCCAGGCGGCCCUCCAAACCAUCUUUAUUUUAAUGAGCGGCCCGAGCGAUUGUAUACCUCCAACGCUAGGAACCACUUCUGUGUUUAAAAAAUAUGGUGCUUCUGCCUCUGGCCCAGAUGGAGUAGCAGGGAUCAGAUGUAUCCUCCUGCCUGAAACACCUGGAAAACGGGCCAGGUUUAUGCAGGAAUGGACUUCAGGUAGCACAGGGUAUGACUGCGAGAAGGGGACCAGUGGGUUUUUAGAUGCCAGAAAGGGGGAGUUGGGCAACACUUGGGAUGUGACCAAUAUGUUUCUAAAAGGGGGUUACCAGGCGGUGAUUUUGUUUUAUUACACAAAGGACUCUCACUCACUGCCAAGGAGAGUCUGCCACAGUGAGGGCCGCUGAGUGGCCCAAGGUCCUUCCUUCUGGGGGAGGGAAGGAGGUAUCGGCAGCAGGGGCAUACCUGAGCAGCUGCAGGCUGAGCGAGGCUGAGGCAAGAACAGGUUACAGCGUGCUCUGGUUUGUGUUUUUAAAUGGAGAUAUUUACACACUACAACAUGCAGGCUCUUCCUGUAGGAAGCAUGAGAAAUGGUGUGUCUGGUUGUGUCUGCAGCACUGGGCUGGCAAGCGGGAAAGGAGGUUUGUUUCACUGGACACUUUUUGCACUGUUCAAAUACCUUACAACGGUCGCGUAGUUUGUUUUCAAUAAAUAAAAAAAGCUAGCUAAAAAAU